This 253-nucleotide ribosomal RNA is filed under the name uncultured bacterium. RNAcentral's name for it is "partial 16S ribosomal RNA". It matches the Rfam family "Bacterial small subunit ribosomal RNA", at positions 524 to 776 of the family's 1533-position model. The record is from RNAcentral.
UACGGAGGGUGCGAGCGUUGUCCGGAAUCAUUGGGCGUAAAGGGCGCGUAGGCGGCUCGGCACGUCCGUUGUGAAAUCGCCCGGCUCAACUGGGCGGGGUCGGCGGAUACGGCCGAGCUGGAGCAAGCUAGGGGGUAAUGGAAUUCCCGGUGUAGUGGUGGAAUGCGUAGAUAUCGGGAGGAACACCAGUGGCGAAGGCGGUUACCUGGAGCGUUGCUGACGCUGAUGCGCGAAAGCGUGGGGAGCGAUCCGG